Long non-coding RNA from Erinaceus europaeus (western European hedgehog), 1150 nucleotides. RefSeq lists it as uncharacterized. Lineage: Eukaryota; Metazoa; Chordata; Mammalia; Eulipotyphla; Erinaceidae. The record is from RefSeq and is a predicted model, not a curated record. The transcript has 3 exons.
UCCUCACAUCAGUCCUUGUGCUUUGCACCAUGUGCACUUAACCCUCUGUGCUACUGCCCAACUCCCCCAAGUGAACUAUUUCACCAACCCAUUGAGCUCUCGUCUUAAUGAAGAAUAAAUGAUCUGGCCCACAAAAAGCAUCAAGUAGUUACUGGUUUGCAUUACUCAUGAAAUGAUCAAACUCAAUCAUUGAUGAUUAAGGGGAGAGGUUGUUUUAGUGCAAAUUAGUGCUGGAGCAAAAAGAACAGCUUCCUUGGUUUUAUUUUCAUUUUCUGUUUUCCAGAUAUUUUUCUGUUUUCUCCCUGCCCCUAAUGGCUUCAAAGAAUAGAAAAUUUUUUACAUCAAUGUAUUAUUAAAGUUGAUCAAUCCCAAACUGGUGUUUUGACAGUGUUUUGGAGGAAAAGAAAACCAACCUAUGCUAUACAGACUACUGUAAUUUUCCUUGACACUUCAGACAUCAUGUGGAACAAAUGAGGUUGUAUUUUAAUGCACAGCUCAUAAUUAAAUAAAUUAAAUUUAUUUAACUUAAACCCAAUUAAACCUAUUAAUGAAGGCAAACUAAUAAUUAACUCUUGAGGAAAUGUGUGUGGGGAAGCUUAUUCUUCAAAGUACUUUUUUUUCCCAAAGCAAUGCUCAGCCCUGGCUUCUGGCAUAAGAAUAUUUUGUGUAACCAUUUAUGCUAACUCCCAGUUCUUUCUCUCUCUCUUUAGAGACAGAGAGGCAGAGAGAGAUAGAAAAGAGAAAGAGGGAGAGGGAGGGAGGGAGGAAGGGAGAGAGAGAGAGAAAGAGAGAGACAGACAGACACCAUAGCACCAAAGCGUCAAUUCUGGGAGGGGGUUGGGAGUGGGUAGGCUUGAACAUGAGUCAUACACAUGGCAAAGCAGCACACUAUCCAGGUGAGCUAUUUUGCCGGCUCUAGAGUACAUACAUUUAUGGAAUCAGCUGAAAAUCACUGUGCUCAGCACAGCUCCCAUCUCCCUACCCCCUCCCUUGUGCUCUGCUCUCUAAGGUUGCCAGAGGACACUGUUUUUUUGAGUCAUCAGACCCUGUUCUUGCUGCAGUACAUGCUCCCUGUGUCUCAGAGAUGACAGCAGUGGCCCCAAGUUCCCUUGAUCUACACCCCCCUAUACCAGGUCUACACCAUCUCUCC